AGAGUUGAUCCUGGCUCAGAUUGAACGCUGGCGGUAGGCUUAACACAUGCAAGUCGAGCGGUAACAGGCAUUUUGAUUCAGCUUGCUGAAUCUCGCGCUGACGAGCGGCGGACGGGUGAGUAACGCGUAGGAAUCUACAUAGUAGAAGGGGAUAGCCCGGGGAAACUCGGAUUAAUACCGUAUACGUCCUUAGGGAGAAAGAGGGCUUAGCUUAGAUGCUCUCGCUAUUAGAUGAGCCUGCGUAAGAUUAGCUUGUUGGUGAGGUAAAGGCUCACCAAGGCUACGAUCUUUAGCUGGUCUGAGAGGACGAUCAGCCACAUUGGGACUGAGACACGGCCCAGACUCCUACGGGAGGCAGCAGUGGGGAAUAUUGGACAAUGGGCGCAAGCCUGAUCCAGCCAUACCGCGUGUGUGAAGAAGGCCUUCGGGUUGUAAAGCACUUUAAGUAAGGAAGAAAAGUAUAUUGUUAAUACCAAUGUACCGUGACAUUACUUACAGAAUAAGGACCGGCUAAUUCCGUGCCAGCAGCCGCGGUAAUACGGAAGGUCCAAGCGUUAAUCGGAAUUACUGGGCGUAAAGCGCGCGUAGGUGGUUUAUUAAGUUGGGUGUGAAAGCCCCGGGCUCAACCUGGGAACUGCAUCCAAAACUGAUUCACUAGAGUACGAAAGAGGGAGGUAGAAUUCACAGUGUAGCGGUGGAAUGCGUAGAUAUUGUGAAGAAUACCAAUGGCGAAGGCAGCCUCCUGGUUCUGUACUGACACUGAGGUGCGAAAGCGUGGGUAGCGAACAGGAUUAGAUACCCUGGUAGUCCACGCCGUAAACGAUGACAACCAGCUGUUGGGAAGCAAUGCUUUUCAGUGGCGCAGCUAACGUCUUAAGUUGUCCGCCUGGGGAGUACGGCCGCAAGGUUAAAACUCAAAGGAAUUGACGG
RNAcentral lists this ribosomal RNA (930 nucleotides) under uncultured marine bacterium. Its description in RNAcentral is "bacterial SSU rRNA". It matches the Rfam family "Bacterial small subunit ribosomal RNA", at positions 8 to 916 of the family's 1533-position model. The record is from RNAcentral.